AGCAAGGGCGGGUGCUAUACAUGCAGUCGAGCGGACAGAAGGGAGCUUGCUCCCGGAUGUUAGCGGCGGACGGGUGAGUAACACGUGGGUAACCUGCCUGUAAGACUGGGAUAACUCCGGGAAACCGGAGCUAAUACCGGAUAGUUCCUUGAACCGCAUGGUUCAAGGAUGAAAGACGGUUUCGGCUGUCACUUACAGAUGGACCCGCGGCGCAUUAGCUAGUUGGGUGGGGUAAUGGCUCACCAAGGGCGACGAUGCGUAGCCGACCUGAGAGGGUGAUCGGCCACACUGGGACUGAGACACGGCCCAGACUCCUACGGGAGGCAGCAGUAGGGAAUCUUCCGCAAUGGACGAAAGUCUGACGGAGCAACGCCGCGUGAGUGAUGAAGGUUUUCGGAUCGUAAAGCUCUGUUGUUAGGGAAGAACAAGUGCGAGAGUAACUGCUCGCACCUUGACGGUACCUAACCAGAAAGCCACGGCUAACUACGUGCCAGCAGCCGCGGUAAUACGUAGGUGGCAAGCGUUGUCCGGAAUUAUUGGGCGUAAAGGGCUCGCAGGCGGUUUCUUAAGUCUGAUGUGAAAGCCCCCGGCUCAACCGGGGAGGGUCAUUGGAAACUGGGAAACUUGAGUGCAGAAGAGGAGAGUGGAAUUCCACGUGUAGCGGUGAAAUGCGUAGAGAUGUGGAGGAACACCAGUGGCGAAGGCGACUCUCUGGUCUGUAACUGACGCUGAGGAGCGAAAGCGUGGGGAGCGAACAGGAUUAGAUACCCUGGUAGUCCACGCCGUAAACGAUGAGUGCUAAGUGUUAGGGGGUUUCCGCCCCUUAGUGCUGCAGCUAACGCAUUAAGCACUCCGCCUGGGGAGUACGGUCGCAAGACUGAAACUCAAAGGAAUUGACGGGGGCCCGCACAAGCGGUGGAGCAUGUGGUUUAAUUCGAAGCAACGCGAAGAACCUUACCAGGUCUUGACAUCCUCUGACACCCUAGAGAUAGGGCUUUCCCUUCGGGGACAAAUGACAGGUGGUGCAUGGGUGUCGUCAGCUCUGUCUGAGAUGUGGUACCCAGAGGGGGGGGGAGGCAAACACACAAAACAAAAAAAGGAAGGGGGGGGGAGAACAAAAGAAAACAAAAGAGAAGAAAGCGAGAGGGGG
RNAcentral lists this ribosomal RNA (1150 nucleotides) under Bacillus zhangzhouensis. Its description in RNAcentral is "bacterial SSU rRNA". It matches the Rfam family "Bacterial small subunit ribosomal RNA", at positions 34 to 1113 of the family's 1533-position model. The record is from RNAcentral. Lineage: Bacteria; Bacillati; Bacillota; Bacilli; Caryophanales; Bacillaceae.